CUUGAGGUCAUGCCUCUUCUCUUGUCAUCCCAGGUCACAAGACUCCGACUCCUGCAGUCGUCGAGUGGUGAAGCCUUCAGAACCACGUAGUCGUUCCGACUCUCAAGGUCGCUCGACUAAGACUCCGACUCCUGAAGUCGUCGAGUGGUGAAGCCUCCAGACCCACGUAGUCAUUCCGACUCUCGAAGUCGCUCGACGUAAGACUCCGACUCCUGCAGUCGUCGAGUGGUGAAGCCUCCAGAACCACAUAGUCGUUCCGACUCUCGAGGUUGCUCGACGUAAGACUCCGACUCCUGAAGUCGUCGAGUGGAGAAGCCUCCAGACCCACGUAGUCGUUCCGACUCUCGAAGUCGCUCGACGUAAGACUCCGACUCCUGAAGUCGUCGAGUGUAGAAGCUUCCCGACCCCCGUAGUCGUUCCGACUCUCGAAGUCGUGACCCAAGCUAAAGGUUGUCAGAGUAGCCGAACACAACGUAAGGAGGCGACAUGAAGAGCUUGGGCGCUUGUGAUGUCAAGACCACGCGAGGCGGAGGCCACUUGAAGCCAGCACAACGCGGAGGCGACGACCGAAGCACAACAGAAGAAACACCAAGACCGCGAGGGAGCAAAGGAGCCAUGGACGUGAUGGGGACAAGAUAUUGGUGUGAAGCUCGUUUCCCCGUAUGCACACCUUGUUGAGCCAAGUGUCCAAAUCAGGGUGCUACAAGUUUACUGUUCGGGAUUUACCCGCCAACAAAUAGUUUGCAGUGGUCUACGUAAACACCAUAGAGGCAGAUAGGAUGACCAUUAAAACACACGAUUAAACAAAAUCUAGGAAUUUGAGACAUUGGGAAAGUAAUGUCUGAUACAAGUCUCCAGAUGUGGAGUUGCGUCAUCGUUUCUUGGAGAACUUCAGUGGCGCAAAGGAAUCGUUUGAUUCCUAUCGGAGGAAGCUUAUUUUGUCCAAGAUUCUUGCAAGGGUUGUCGUCACACCUCAAUGGCGAACAAGCAGGUAGCAGAGAGCGCCCAAGUUCCUCCUUUGAUUCUGGACCAAUCCCACAAGACGACAUCCAGCGGAACUGCGGAAGGCCUGUAACCUCGAGCCUACCGUAGAGACUCAGAGGAGAUGAAUGGGUCAUGUAACUAGGCUUGUAAACGGCUCUGCCGUCAGCUAGGAAGUUGACGGCAUUUAUCUAUCACUAGACAGAAAGAGAUCAAUGGCUAAGUUGUAAACGGGACUGCCGUCACUCCGUCAGCUAGGACGAACAAGCUCAUGUUCUUCUGAACUAUCAGCAUAUCAAUACGAAUUCACCCUA
This is a long non-coding RNA of Brachypodium distachyon (stiff brome), 1295 nucleotides long. RefSeq lists it as uncharacterized. The transcript is spliced from 2 exons. NCBI's taxonomy places the organism in Eukaryota, Viridiplantae, Streptophyta, Magnoliopsida, Poales, Poaceae. The record is from RefSeq and is a predicted model, not a curated record.